AUGAACGCUGGCGGCGUGCCUAAUACAUGCAAGUCGAGCGAACAGACGAGGAGCUUGCUCCUCUGACGUUAGCGGCGGACGGGUGAGUAACACGUGGAUAACCUACCUAUAAGACUGGGAUAACUUCGGGAAACCGGAGCUAAUACCGGAUAAUAUAUUGAACCGCAUGGUUCAAUAGUGAAAGACGGUUUUGCUGUCACCUAUAGAUGGAUCCGCGCCGCAUUAGCUAGUUGGUAAGGUAACGGCUUACCAAGGCAACGAUACGUAGCCGACCUGAGAGGGUGAUCGGCCACACUGGAACUGAGACACGGUCCAGACUCCUACGGGAGGCAGCAGUAGGGAAUCUUCCGCAAAGGGCGAAAGCCUGACGGAGCAACGCCGCGUGAGUGAUGAAGGUCUUCGGAUCGUAAAACUCUGUUAUUAGGGAAGAACAAAUGUGUAAGUAACUAUGCACGUCUUGACGGUACCUAAUCAGAAAGCCACGGCUAACUACGUG
Molecule: ribosomal RNA, 496 nt
Filed under: uncultured bacterium
Lineage: Bacteria
Description: partial 16S ribosomal RNA
Rfam family: Bacterial small subunit ribosomal RNA
Source: RNAcentral